GAUGAAGAACGUAGCGAAAUGCGAUACUUGGUGUGAAUCGCAGAAUCCCGUGAACCAUCGAGUCUUUGAACGCAAGUUGCGCCCGAAGCCUCGGCUAAGGGCACGUCUGCCUGGGCGUCACGCAUCGCGUCUCCCCCAAACCGCCAAGGCGGAGGGGAAGGAAGAUGGCUUCCCGUGCCUCACCCGGGCGCGGUUGGCCUAAAUUUGGAGCCCGCGGCACUUAGCUCUCGCGGCGAUAGGUGGUGAACAAGGCCUUGGCCGUGCAAACAACCCGCUGCGAAGCUCUAUGUCACGUGCGCUCGUCGGACCCUUUGAAGUUGCCUUUGGUGACUUAAAACCUUUGCGACCCCAGGUCAGGCGGGGCUACCUGCUGAAUUUAAGCAUAUCAAUAAGCGGAGGA
RNAcentral lists this unclassified non-coding RNA (400 nucleotides) under soil metagenome. RNAcentral describes it as "partial contains 5.8S ribosomal RNA, internal transcribed spacer 2, and large subunit ribosomal RNA". The stretch from base 1 to 120 matches the Rfam family "5.8S ribosomal RNA", at positions 35 to 154 of the family's 154-position model. The record is from RNAcentral.